RNAcentral lists this ribosomal RNA (402 nucleotides) under uncultured bacterium. RNAcentral describes it as "bacterial SSU rRNA". It matches the Rfam family "Bacterial small subunit ribosomal RNA", at positions 355 to 774 of the family's 1533-position model. The record is from RNAcentral.
UAGGGAAUAUUGGUAAUGUGCGAAAGCGCGAACCAGCAACGCCGCGUGCACGAUGAAGGCCUUCGGGUCGUAAAGUGCUUUUAGAGAGGAUGAGGAAGGACAGUACUUUCUGAAUAAGCCUCGGCUAACUACGUGCCAGCAGCCGCGGUAAAACGUAGGAGGCUAGCGUUAUCCGGAUUUACUGGGCGUAAAGCGAAUGCAGGUGGUUUUGUAAGUUGGAUGUGAAAGCUCCUGGCUUAACUGGGAGAGGUCGUUCAAAACUACAAGACUUGAGAUUGGUAGAGGAAAAUGGAAUUCCGGGUGUAGUGGUGAAAUGCGUAGAUAUCCGGAGGAACACCAGUGGCGAAAGCGGUUUUCUGGACCAAUUCUGACACUCAGAUGCGAAAGCUAAGGUAGCAAACG